AAUAAGAUCAUUUUUUAGUUUUUUGAUACAAUAUUUUGACUCUUUAUCUUAUUUGAAAUUUUUUUACGAUUAAGAUUUUUAUAAAACAUGAAUAAUACUUUAUGCGUGACUAAUUUUUUAAGUUUUUUAUAAAUUUUUCAAAUAAGAUGAAUGGUCAAACGUUGGACACGAAAAAACA
Molecule: microRNA precursor, 178 nt
Filed under: Oryza brachyantha (malo sina)
Lineage: Eukaryota; Viridiplantae; Streptophyta; Magnoliopsida; Poales; Poaceae
Description: MIR812 microRNA precursor family
Rfam family: MIR812 microRNA precursor family
Source: Rfam by way of RNAcentral